UAGGUUCUGCACAGAGUCAGCCAAAUGCAGCAAAGUUGAUUGGACGGUGCUUCACAGUACAAAUGGACAAUGACCCAAAACAUACUGUGAGAGUAACCCAAGAGUUUUUUGAGGCAAAGAAGUGGAAUAUUCUACAAUGCCUGAGUCGAUCACCAGGUGUCAACCCGGUCAAGCAUGCAUUUCACUUGCUUAAGACAGAACUUAAGGCAGAAUGGCCCACAAACAAGCAACAGCUGAAGACAGCUGCAGUCAUAGCCUGGCAAAGUAUCACAAAGGAAGAAACCCAGCGUUUGGUGAUGUCCAUGGUGUCCAGACUUCAGGCAGUCAUUGCCUGCAAAGGAUUCCCGACAAAGUAUUGAAAAUGAACAUUUUAUUUAUGGCAACGUUUAUUUGUCCAGUCACUUUUGAGCCCCUGAAAUGAGGAGACUUUCUAGAAAAAUGGUUGCAGUUCCUAAACAUUUCAUAGGAUGUCCUUGUUCAAGCUCUGGAAUU
This is a long non-coding RNA of Thalassophryne amazonica, 492 nucleotides long. RefSeq lists it as uncharacterized. The transcript has 4 exons. Lineage: Eukaryota; Metazoa; Chordata; Actinopteri; Batrachoidiformes; Batrachoididae. The record is from RefSeq and is a predicted model, not a curated record.